GACGAACGCUGGCGGCGCGCCUAACACAUGCAAGUCGAACGGAGUCAAGAGGAGCUUGCUUUUCUUGACUUAGUGGCGAACGGGUGAGUAACGCGUGAGUAACCUGCCCUGGAGUGGGGGACAACAGUUGGAAACGACUGCUAAUACCGCAUAAGCCCACGGAUCCGCAUGGAUCUGCGGGAAAAGGAUUUAUUCGCUUCAUGAUGGACUCGCGUCCAAUUAGCUAGUUGGUGAGGUAACGGCCCACCAAGGCGACGAUUGGUAGCCGGACUGAGAGGUUGAACGGCCACAUUGGGACUGAGACACGGCCCAGACUCCUACGGGAGGCAGCAGUGGGGGAUAUUGCACAAUGGGGGAAACCCUGAUGCAGCGACGCCGCGUGGAGGAAGAAGGUUUUCGGAUUGUAAACUCCUGUCGUGAGGGACGAUAAUGACGGUACCUAACAAGAAAGCACCGGCUAACUACGUG
This 468-nucleotide ribosomal RNA is filed under the name uncultured bacterium. RNAcentral's name for it is "partial 16S ribosomal RNA". It matches the Rfam family "Bacterial small subunit ribosomal RNA", at positions 28 to 507 of the family's 1533-position model. The record is from RNAcentral.